This 832-nucleotide long non-coding RNA is filed under the name Daucus carota (carrot). RNAcentral describes it as "long non-coding RNA (DCAR_LNC000109)". The record is from RNAcentral. Lineage: Eukaryota; Viridiplantae; Streptophyta; Magnoliopsida; Apiales; Apiaceae.
AUUCUUUGCUCCUCUAUUUAUACAAACGUGACGAUUUGUCCAGAGCCAAGAGUGUAGGAGAAAUAUCGAUAAAAAUGAAAAAUACAAAAUUUCAAAUCGCUGCGAUAUUUGUGUUUGUAUUAAUAAUUUGUGCAGGUAAAACUACACUUGGUGAUAGUGAAUGUUGUAUUGAUUGUCGUAAGAUAUGCUGCAGAGGAUGCCCCAGCCUGCCCUGUUUUGUUAUUUGCGCUCAAAAAUGUCCUGAUUAUGCUACGUGCGGUGCUGAUGACUGCAUAAAGACGAAUAAUAUAAUCGGUAAGUGAUUUUUUUCAAUCGUAUUUUAAUGUGUUCUGUAUAUAAUGUUUUUUAAUAAUUCAUGUUUGGUAUGAAACUUCGGUGUUUAAAAUUUUUAUAUGAAAAUAAUGUUAUGUGCAAUUUUUUUUAUAAAUCUUUAAAACGGGAGUAGUUUUCUAUUAUGUAUUGAUAAUUGGAAUUAUUAUGCAUCAAUAAGAAUAUAUUCUUUUUUUUUUGAAACGAUCAAUAAUAAUAUAUUUCUUUUCAUAUUGCAGGUAAGUAAAAAGAGCAAGCUAGAAUGGAGAAAAAUUAACGAGAACGUGGAGCCCUAUAUUUAUAUGGAUUUUACUUUUCCGAUCGUUUUCUUUUAUUUGAGGUUCACGUAAUUUUAAUUUUUAUUGAGGUUGUGUGGAACUAUAAAUCGUGUGAUAAAAGAUCAAAAGUUUGUACACAAAUAUUAUUAGAAAUAUCAUUAUUAUUUUCAUUUUAGUUCGAAUAUGUUCAGGAAGUCUUUUUUAUAUGAAAAUGUGUCGAGGAUAUUAUUGAACAUGCAGCCGGU